This 457-nucleotide ribosomal RNA is filed under the name Treponema socranskii. RNAcentral describes it as "bacterial SSU rRNA". It matches the Rfam family "Bacterial small subunit ribosomal RNA", at positions 40 to 493 of the family's 1533-position model. Lineage: Bacteria; Pseudomonadati; Spirochaetota; Spirochaetia; Treponematales; Treponemataceae. The record is from RNAcentral.
CGGGCGUCUUAACAUGCAAGUCGAGCGGCAGGCAGCAAUGCCGAGAGCGCGGACUGGUGAGUAACACGUGGAUAACGUACCCCGAUGUCCGGGACAGCCUGUAGAAAUAGAGGGUAAUACCGGAUAGAUCACUGUUUACGUGAGGUAGACAGCGGGAAAGGAGCUUCGGCUCCGCGCCGGGAACGGUCUGCGGCCCAUCAGCUAGACGGCGGGGUAAGUGCCCGCCGUGGCGAGGACGGGUAUCCGGCCUGAGAGGGCGGACGGACACAUUGGGACUGAGAUACGGCCCAGACUCCUACGGGAGGCAGCAGGUAAGAAUAUUCCGCAAUGGGGGGAACCCUGACGGAGCGACGCCGCGUGAACGAAGAAGGCCGGAAGGUUGUAAAGUUCUUUUCUGUUCGAGGAAUAAGUUUUGGAGGAAAUGCCAAGGCGGUGACGGUAGGGCAGGAAUAAGCAC